RNAcentral lists this RNase P RNA (287 nucleotides) under pig gut metagenome. Its description in RNAcentral is "Bacterial RNase P class A". It matches the Rfam family "Bacterial RNase P class A", at positions 63 to 362 of the family's 367-position model. Rfam says of the family: Ribonuclease P (RNase P) is a ubiquitous endoribonuclease, found in archaea, bacteria and eukarya as well as chloroplasts and mitochondria. The record is from RNAcentral.
GGGCAAGGAUAACGGGUAACACCCGCCGGGGGCGACCCCAGGAAAAGUGCAACAGAAAUAGACUACUGGCGGGCGCAAGCCUGCCAGCAAAGGUGGAAAGGCGAGGUAAGAGCUCACCCAAUGGCGUGUGAAAGCGCCCAUUGCUGUAAACUCUAUCCGGAGCAACGCCGUGGGAACACACAAGGCCGGCCCGGCCGUGUUCAGGAGGCGGCUGGAGCGCGUUGGCAACAGCGCGUCGAGAUAGAUGGCUGUCUUAAAUGACAGAACCCGGCUUACAGGCUUACUUG